GCAGUCGAGGGGUAGCAGGAUUUAGUUUACUAGAUUGCUGACGACCGGCGCACGGGUGAGUAACGCGUAUACAAUUUACCUUUUACUGAAGAAUAGCCCAGAGAAAUUUGGAUUAAUGCUUCAUAGUAUUAUUUGGUCACCUGGCCGAGUAAUUAAAGCUCCGGCGGUAAAAGAUGAGUAUGCGUCCUAUUAGCUAGAUGGUAAGGUAACGGCUUACCAUGGCGACGAUAGGUAGGGGUCCUGAGAGGGAGAUCCCCCACACUGGUACUGAGACACGGACCAGACUCCUACGGGAGGCAGCAGUGAGGAAUAUUGGGCAAUGGAGGCAACUCUGACCCAGCCAUGCCGCGUGCAGGAAGACUGCCCUAUGGGUUGUAAACUGCUUUUAUACAGGAAGAAACUUACCCACGUGUGGGUAACUGACGGUACUGUAAGAAUAAGGACCGGCUAACUCCGUGCCAGCAGCCGCGGUAAUACGGAGGGUCCAAGCGUUAUCCGGAAUCAUUGGGUUUAAAGGGUCCGUAGGCGGGCAAUUAAGUCAGAGGUGAAAUCCCACAGCUCAACUGUGGAACUGCCUUUGAUACUGGUUGUCUUGAGUUACAGUGAAGUAGAUAGAAUAUGUAGUGUAGCGGUGAAAUGCAUAGAUAUUACAUAGAAUACCGAUUGCGAAGGCAGUCUACUAACUGUAUACUGACGCUAAUGGACGAAAGCGUGGGGAGCGAACAGGAUUAGAUACCCUGGUAGUCCACGCCGUAACGAUGGUCACUAGUUGUUGGGGUCUUGUACCUCAGUGAUUAAGAGAAA
This 804-nucleotide ribosomal RNA is filed under the name Lutimonas saemankumensis. RNAcentral describes it as "bacterial SSU rRNA". It matches the Rfam family "Bacterial small subunit ribosomal RNA", at positions 57 to 856 of the family's 1533-position model. The record is from RNAcentral. Lineage: Bacteria; Pseudomonadati; Bacteroidota; Flavobacteriia; Flavobacteriales; Flavobacteriaceae.